This 300-nucleotide ribosomal RNA is filed under the name uncultured Pyrodictium sp. RNAcentral's name for it is "bacterial SSU rRNA". It matches the Rfam family "Bacterial small subunit ribosomal RNA", at positions 496 to 795 of the family's 1533-position model. The record is from RNAcentral. Lineage: Archaea; Thermoproteati; Thermoproteota; Thermoprotei; Desulfurococcales; Pyrodictiaceae.
GGUAAGUCUGGGGCAGCGGCGGCGGUGUGAGGUGGGGGGCGAGGGUUGGCCGUAAUGAGUGUGGGUGAAGAGCGGGUAGGCGGUUCGGGGAGGCUGCCGUGAAAACCGGGGGCUCAACCCCGGGCGGGCGGUGGAUACUGCCGGGCUAGAGGGUGGUAGAGGCGAGUGGAAUUCCCGGGGUAGCGGGGAAAUGCGCAGAUAUCGGGAGGAACACCAGUGGCGAAGGCGACUCACUGGACACGUAUUGACGCUGAGGUGCGAAAGCGUGGGGAGCAAACAGGAUUAGAUACCCGAGUAGUC